CCCAAAUGUAGGCAACUGCCUAGGCUGUAUUACGCCUAGGCAAAUGUAACAUUGCUGGGAGAAAAGCAGCUAAUAAUUGGCGGGCAUCCUGGUCCUGGUUAAUGCCAAAUUUGUGUUAAUUAUACCUGUGUACCAGCAUCGUUGUCUAUAUAUUUAAAGA
Molecule: small nucleolar RNA, 160 nt
Organism: Ochotona princeps (American pika)
Lineage: Eukaryota; Metazoa; Chordata; Mammalia; Lagomorpha; Ochotonidae
Gene: SNORA74
Rfam family: Small nucleolar RNA SNORA74
About the family: U19 belongs to the H/ACA class of snoRNAs. snoRNAs bind a number of proteins (including dyskerin, Gar1p and Nop10p in the case of the H/ACA class) to form snoRNP complexes. This class are thought to guide the sites of modification of uridines to pseudouridines by forming direct base pairing interactions with substrate RNAs.
Source: Ensembl